GACGAACGCUGGCGGCGUGCUUAACACAUGCAAGUCGAACGCUGAAGCUUGGUGCUUGCACUGGGUGGGUGAGUGGCGAACGGGUGAGUAAUACGUGAGUAACCUGCCCUUGACUCUGGGAUAAGCCUGGGAAACUGGGUCUAAUACUGGAUACGACAUGUCACCGCAUGGGGGCGUGUGGAAAGGGUUUUACUGGUUUUGGAUGGGCUCACGGCCUAUCAGCUUGUUGGUGGGGUAAUGGCUCACCAAGGCGACGACGGAUAGCCGGCCUGAGAGGGUGACCGGCCACACUGGGACUGAGACACGGCCCAGACUCCUACGGGAGGCAGCAGUGGGGAAUAUUGCACAAUGGGCGAAAGCCUGAUGCAGCGACGCCGCGUGAGGGAUGACGGCCUUCGGGUUGUAAACCUCUUUCAGCACGGAAGAAGCGAAAGUGACGGUACGUGCAGAAGAAGCGCCGGCUAACUACGUG
This 472-nucleotide ribosomal RNA is filed under the name uncultured bacterium. RNAcentral's name for it is "partial 16S ribosomal RNA". It matches the Rfam family "Bacterial small subunit ribosomal RNA", at positions 28 to 507 of the family's 1533-position model. The record is from RNAcentral.